GAUGAACGCUGGCGGCGUGCCUAAUACAUGCAAGUCGAGCGAACGGACGAGAAGCUUGCUUCUCUGAUGUUAGCGGCGGACGGGUGAGUAACACGUGGAUAACCUACCUAUAAGACUGGGAUAACUUCGGGAAACCGGAGCUAAUACCGGAUAAUAUUUUGAACCGCAUGGUUCAAAAGUGAAAGACGGUCUUGCUGUCACUUAUAGAUGGAUCCGCGCUGCAUUAGCUAGUUGGUAAGGUAACGGCUUACCAAGGCAACGAUGCAUAGCCGACCUGAGAGGGUGAUCGGCCACACUGGAACUGAGACACGGUCAAGACUACUACGGGAGGCAGCAGUAGGGAAUCUUACGCAAUGGGCGAAAGCCUGACGGAGCAACGCCGAGUGAGUGAUGAAGGUCUUCGGAUCGUAAAACUCUGUUAUUAGGGAAGAACAUAUGUGUAAGUAACUGUGCACAUCUUGACGGUACCUAAUCAGAAAGCCACGGCUAACUACGUG
This 497-nucleotide ribosomal RNA is filed under the name uncultured bacterium. Its description in RNAcentral is "partial 16S ribosomal RNA". It matches the Rfam family "Bacterial small subunit ribosomal RNA", at positions 28 to 507 of the family's 1533-position model. The record is from RNAcentral.